CCAACCUUGCGACAUUAAAAGGACAAAUACACAAUGAAGUGGCAACUGCAGACAAGAAUGUGAUUUGAAAAGUUUUUUUCUUCUUCUUUCCAAAAACUGGCCUUAUAUACUACCUCGGUGUGAUCAGAUUCUUCAACCACUAAACACACAAAAUCUGUUGAUUCUUCUGCGUGCUUCAAGUGCAACUGUGAAAGGUCAGCUG
Molecule: RNA transcript, 202 nt
Organism: Arabidopsis thaliana (thale cress)
Lineage: Eukaryota; Viridiplantae; Streptophyta; Magnoliopsida; Brassicales; Brassicaceae
Exons: 2
Source: RefSeq